Molecule: non-coding RNA, 97 nt
Organism: Acanthosepion pharaonis
Lineage: Eukaryota; Metazoa; Mollusca; Cephalopoda; Sepiida; Sepiidae
Source: the annotation of a GenBank genome assembly
CGUUGAAACACCGAUUUCCAUAAAAUCGUCGAAGUUAAGCAACUUCGAGUCUGGUCAGUAUCUAGAUGGGCGAUCGCUUGGGAAUACCAGGUGAUGU